UUAAAGAAUUUCGGUCAUCGAUGGGGAUGCGUUCCCAUUAGGUAGUAGGCGGGGUAACGGCCACCUAGCCAACGAUGGAUAGGGGUUCUGAGAGGAAGGUCCCCCACAUUGGAACUGAGACACGGUCCAAACUCCUACGGGGAGGCAGCAGUGAGGAAUAUUGGUCAAUGGACGAGAGGUCUGAACCAGCCAAGUAGCGUGAAGGAUGAAGGUCCUACGGAUUGUAAACUUCUUUUAUAAGGGAAUAAACCCUCCCACGUGUGGGAGCUUGUAUGUACCUUAUGAAUAAGCAUCGGCUAACUCCGUGC
Molecule: ribosomal RNA, 308 nt
Filed under: uncultured bacterium
Lineage: Bacteria
Description: bacterial SSU rRNA
Rfam family: Bacterial small subunit ribosomal RNA
Source: RNAcentral